Molecule: ribosomal RNA, 481 nt
Filed under: uncultured bacterium
Lineage: Bacteria
Description: partial 16S ribosomal RNA
Rfam family: Bacterial small subunit ribosomal RNA
Source: RNAcentral
GAUGAACGCUGGCGGCGUGCUUAACACAUGCAAGUCGAACGAAACACCUUAUUUGAUUUUCUUCGUAACUGAAGAUUUGGUGAUUGAGUGGCGGACGGGUGAGUAACGCGUGGGUAACCUGCCCUGUACAGGGGGAUAACAGUCAGAAAUGACUGCUAAUACCGCAUAAGACCACAGCACCGCAUGGUGCAGGGGUAAAAACUCCGGUGGUACAGGAUGGACCCGCGUCUGAUUAGCUGGUUGGUGAGGUAACGGCUCACCAAGGCGACGAUCAGUAGCCGGCUGGAGAGAGUGAACGGCCACAUUGGGACUGAGACACGGCCCAAACUCCUACGGGAGGCAGCAGUGGGGAAUAUUGCACAAUGGGGGAAACCCUGAUGCAGCAACGCCGCGUGAGUGAAGAAGUAUUUCGGUAUGUAAAGCUCUAUCAGCAGGGAAGAAAAUGACGGUACCUGAAUAAGAAGCCCCGGCUAACUACGUG